Molecule: ribosomal RNA, 443 nt
Filed under: uncultured bacterium
Lineage: Bacteria
Description: partial 16S ribosomal RNA
Rfam family: Bacterial small subunit ribosomal RNA
Source: RNAcentral
CCUACGGGGGGCAGCAGUGGGGAAUAUUGGGCAAUGGAGGCAACUCUGACCCAGCAAUGCCGCGUGAGUGAUGAAGGUAAUUUUAUUGUAAAGCUCUUUUCUUUGGAACGAAUAAAUGACGGUACCAAAGGAAUAAGCACCGGCUAACUACGUGCCAGCAGCCGCGGUAAUACGUAGGGGGCAAGCGUUGUUCGGAAUGACUGGGCGUAACGGGUUGGUAGGUGGUUUGUAUAGUUAGAUGUGUAAUACCCAGGGCUUAACUUGGGUGCUGCAUCUAAAACUGUUAGACUAGAGUACUGUAGAGGUAGGUGGAAUGCCUGGUGUAGCGGUGGAAUGCGUAGAUAUUAGAAGGAACACCGGUGGCGAAGGCAGCUAUCUGGACAACUACUGACACUGAGGCACGAAAGCGUGGGGAGCAAACAGGAUUAGAUACCCCAGUAGUC